GGAUGACUAUGAAGAUGGUGAGGUUAGGGAACCACAACUGCAUGGUGUUGUAGAGAGUGCUAUAUGUGAGGAAAGAAAAGACUUUAGUCAUAGUGAUUCUGAUGGUAAAAAGGUGGAUUCUGCGGAGCUACAUGCUGAUGUUCAUCCUACUUCAUCCUAUGUUGAAGGAAAGAAAACUAAUGGAGAGGAACCUGUCGAGAUCAGUAAAGAUAGUGUUGAAGGAUGUACUGUCAUAAUUCUUGAUAGGAAACCCAUUGAUGUUGUUAAUAAAGAGGUUUCUGGGAAUGAACCAUCAGCAGUUGAGAUCUUGGUCAGUGGAGCUGAUAAAAGGAA
RNAcentral lists this unclassified non-coding RNA (333 nucleotides) under Hevea brasiliensis (rubber tree). The record is from RNAcentral. Lineage: Eukaryota; Viridiplantae; Streptophyta; Magnoliopsida; Malpighiales; Euphorbiaceae.